CCUACGGGAGGCAGCAGUGAGGAAUAUUGGUCAAUGGGCGAGAGCCUGAACCAGCCAAGUCGCGUGAGGGAGUACUGCCCUAUGGGUUGUAAACCUCUUUUGUCGGGGAGCAAAAGCCGGACGUGUCCGGCUGUGAGAGUACCCGAAGAAAAAGCAUCGGCUAACUCCGUGCCAGCAGCCGCGGUAAUACGGAGGAUGCGAGCGGUAUACGGAUUUAUUGGGUUUAAAGGGUGCGCAGGCGGAUUUUUAAGUCAGCGGUCAAAUCGUGGGGCUCAACCCCAUCCAGCCGUUGAAACUGGGGGUCUAGAGUGUGAGAGAGGUAUGCGGAAUGCGUGGUGUAGCGGUGAAAUGCAUAGAUAUCACGCAGAACCCCGAUUGCGAAGGCAGCAUACCGGUGCACAACUGACGCUCAGGCACGAAAGCGUGGGUAUCGAACAGGAUUAGAUACCCGGGUAGUC
RNAcentral lists this ribosomal RNA (458 nucleotides) under uncultured bacterium. Its description in RNAcentral is "partial 16S ribosomal RNA". It matches the Rfam family "Bacterial small subunit ribosomal RNA", at positions 338 to 795 of the family's 1533-position model. The record is from RNAcentral.